Molecule: ribosomal RNA, 254 nt
Filed under: uncultured bacterium
Lineage: Bacteria
Description: partial 16S ribosomal RNA
Rfam family: Bacterial small subunit ribosomal RNA
Source: RNAcentral
UACGAGGGAGUGCCAGUUGUUCGGCGAUUGACUGGGCGUAAAGCGCACGCAGGCGGUUGCGCGCGUGGGGUGUGAAAUCUGGCCGCUUAACGGCCAGGCGCCAUCCCAUACGGCGCGACUGGAGUGAUGCAGAGGUCGAUGGAAUUGCCGGUGUAGUGGUGAAAUGCGUAGAGAUCGGCAGGAACACCGGUGGCGAAGGCGGUUCUCUGGGCCUUACCUGACACUGAGGAGCGAAAGCGUGGGGAGCGAACAGG